Molecule: ribosomal RNA, 1426 nt
Filed under: Pantoea agglomerans
Lineage: Bacteria; Pseudomonadati; Pseudomonadota; Gammaproteobacteria; Enterobacterales; Erwiniaceae
Description: 16S ribosomal RNA
Rfam family: Bacterial small subunit ribosomal RNA
Source: RNAcentral
ACACAUGCAGUCGGACGGUAGCACAGAGGAGCUUGCUCCUUGGGUGACGAGUGGCGGACGGGUGAGUAAUGUCUGGGGAUCUGCCCGAUAGAGGGGGAUAACCACUGGAAACGGUGGCUAAUACCGCAUAACGUCGCAAGACCAAAGAGGGGGACCUUCGGGCCUCUCACUAUCGGAUGAACCCAGAUGGGAUUAGCUAGUAGGCGGGGUAAUGGCCCACCUAGGCGACGAUCCCUAGCUGGUCUGAGAGGAUGACCAGCCACACUGGAACUGAGACACGGUCCAGACUCCUACGGGAGGCAGCAGUGGGGAAUAUUGCACAAUGGGCGCAAGCCUGAUGCAGCCAUGCCGCGUGUAUGAAGAAGGCCUUCGGGUUGUAAAGUACUUUCAGCGGGGAGGAAGGCGGUGCGGUUAAUAACCGCGCCGAUUGACGUUACCCGCAGAAGAAGCACCGGCUAACUCCGGGGCAGCAGCCGCGGUAAUACGGAGGGUGCAAGCGUUAAUCGGAAUUACUGGGCGUAAAGCGCACGCAGGCGGUCUGUUAAGUCAGAUGUGAAAUCCCCGGGCUUAACCUGGGAACUGCAUUUGAAACUGGCAGGCUUGAGUCUUGUAGAGGGGGGUAGAAUUCCAGGUGUAGCGGUGAAAUGCGUAGAGAUCUGGAGGAAUACCGGUGGCGAAGGCGGCCCCCUGGACAAAGACUGACGCUCAGGUGCGAAAGCGUGGGGGAGCAAACAGGAUUAGAUACCCUGGUAGUCCACGCCGUAAACGAUGUCGACUUGGAGGUUGUUCCCUUGAGGAGUGGCUUCCGGAGCUAACGCGUUAAGUCGACCGCCUGGGGAGUACGGCCGCAAGGUUAAAACUCAAAUGAAUUGACGGGGGCCCGCACAAGCGGUGGAGCAUGUGGUUUAAUUCGAUGCAACGCGAAGAACCUUACCUACUCUUGACAUCCACGGAAUUCGGCAGAGAUGCCUCAGUGCCUUCGGGAACCGUGAGACAGGUGCUGCAUGGCUGUCGUCAGCUCGUGUUGUGAAAUGUUGGGUUAAGUCCCGCAACGAGCGCAACCCUUAUCCUUUGUUGCCAGCGAUUCGGUCGGGAACUCAAAGGAGACUGCCGGUGAUAAACCGGAGGAAGGUGGGGAUAAAUCAAGUCAUCAUGGCCCUUACGAGUAGGGCUACACACGUGCUACAAUGGCGCAUACAAAGAGAAGCGACCUCGCGAGAGCAAGCGGACCUCACAAAGUGCGUCGUAGUCCGGAUCGGAGUCUGCAACUCGACUCCGUGAAGUCGGAAUCGCUAGUAAUCGUGGAUCAGAAUGCCACGGUGAAUACGUUCCCGGGCCUUGUACACACCGCCCGUCACACCAUGGGAGUGGGUUGCAAAAGAAGUAGGUAGCUUAACCUUCGGGAGGGCGCUUACCACUGAGAGAU